Molecule: long non-coding RNA, 4346 nt
Organism: Alexandromys fortis (reed vole)
Lineage: Eukaryota; Metazoa; Chordata; Mammalia; Rodentia; Cricetidae
Exons: 3
Source: RefSeq, a predicted model, not a curated record
CACACACACGAGUGAUAAUAUUAAUAUUAAUAAUAAACAAGAACAAAAAUCCUAAGAAGUAUACUAUCUAAAGGGGGAAAAAAGAGUACAUAUACAUGCAAGGUUGGGCGAGAGCAUUUUGGGUAAUGGAAUGGAGACUUCUGACAUGUUUGGGUUGGGGUAUCUGUUUUUUUUUUUUUUAAAUCAGGGUGUUUUAGAAGCUGUGGAAAAGUAGACCAACAGAUCAGAAAGAUUCCCAGAAGGAUGUUAAAAAAAAAAUCAAAAACAAAAAACCGAGUGGAGUCUGUGAUGAAAGCCGUGUAGUAAAGCAUGGGCUUGGAAUAUGGUGGGCUCCGUGUUCAGCUCACAGCACCAUUUGGGGGGGAGGGGGACGACACAGGAAAGAAAAGAAAUGAACCACGCUAUGACUUAGUAAGUUCAGGGAAGAAAAGGCAUGGGGGUGGAACAGGCAGCGAUGGAGAAGGUGAGACUCAUUUGAGAGUUAGAGUUGACCGAGCUUCAUUGGUUAGACCCUGGGUGGCAACAAAGUGGGUUGCGGAAGACACCUAGCCUCCGCCUGGGCCUUCUGGGUGGGUGGUGGAACUGUGACUCAGAUCUUCCAGACCUUGUAAUAGGUGGUUGGAGGCUUCCGGAGAGUGUCUGGAAGGGUUUAAUAAACGUGGUGCUGAGAAGGAACGGAACCGCUCCAGCCAGAAGAGCAGGCUGGUGCUAUUCUGGAAUAUGCGAAAGGGCUAGAGCACCCCGCCCCCCCUUCCAGCUGCUGGGCUCUCACCAAUGUAAGAUAAUCACUCACUGUAAGAUGAGCUAAGGUGGGUAACUCUCCACUCAAGGUGAGGCUUGUGGAUUUCAAAGGGGCAACCUCAAAUAAACACAUGGGAACCCAGUUGCUAUGUUUUGUGUAUGGGAUGGAUUCUCCACCUCCACUGGGCAAGCAAGAAUAGAAUGAGUUUACAUGAUGCCCUAGAAAUCGAUGCAGCUCUAUCUGAUUGCUACCUUGUAGACUUUUUUUUUUUUUUUUUUUUUUUGAGCACCUACUCUUCUGUCUGGUCCACCCACCACAUUCCUGUGUGUGAUUCCAAGGCUGGUUCACAUCCUGCCUUCUGGCACCUGCCCCCCAUGACAUCAGCCUGCAUUUAGUUCUUUUGCUCCCAUGUUCCUCUGCAGUAAUUUGGGGUUCAUUGCAGACAUCCUUGAAGGUUUCAGUGCUAAACCCAGGGUCCUGUGCACACACGAUAAUACCUCGCCACUGAGCUGUGGCUCCAUUCUGGGCUUUCCAUUGCGAUGUGUGCCUCGCUGGGUAGCAUAGACUGGCUUGGGGUUUGCUAUUUUCCUGCUUCAGCCUCCUGAGGAGCCAGAAUUACAAUCUCCACAGGCAGGCCUGGUUCACUCUUCGUUGUCACCUGUCCGCAGAGGAUACCCAAUCUUACUCACCUGUACACUUCUCUGUGUACUCUGGUCACCUGCACUCUUGCGAAAAAGCAGGCGAAAUGACUGCCUGUAUAGCCAACGUGGGCCUGCUGGUUGUUUCAUUCAGCAAAGGUUUACUGAGUAUUGGUCACGUGCCAAGCACAUGACUGAGCCCUGGGGCACUUGGCUCCCUCUCCUCUGGCUCACUGGGUUCUAGCUACAGUCACUUGGUUCCUACCCCAAGGCCUUUCCUCUUGUCCUUCCAUCUGCCUGGACUGAUUGUCCCUUCCCUGUGAACUUUCUUUUUAUUUUAUUUAUUUAAUUUUUUUUUUUUUAACACAGGGUCUCUCUGUGUAUCGUCCGGCUGAUCUAGAAUUUACUAUGCAGAUCAGACUGGCCUCCAGCUCAUAGAGAUCCACCUGCCUCUGCCUCCUGAGUGCUGGGAUCAAAGCCACCAUAUUUCGCUUGGACUCUUAUUUUUAUUUCCUGUGCACUGGUGUUUUGCCUGCAUGUAAGUUGGGUGUCAGACCCCUGGGACUGGAAGUAUAGAUAUGUGAGCUGCAUGUGGGUGCUGGGAAUCAAACCUGGGUCCUCUGGAAAAGCAGCCAGAGCUCUUAACCAUUGAGCCAUCUUUCCAGCUUCCACCUUGAACUCUUGAUAUCAAGGUUUCUUUGAUCUCAUUUCCUUGGAGAAACCUCAGUCUAGUCUCUUGCUGUUGCCUCGAUAUCUCAGCAUCUUUCAUUUUUCUCAACGGCACUAGGCAAAGCAGCUAAUCUUGUGUGGUUUGCAGGUAAACUAUGGGAUGGUGGCGACAUCCUCUUCUCUGUGGGAACUCAUGCAACAAGCAUGGUGCUUCCCUCCUUGCAAGAGCUCUGACCGUUGGUUUGAACCAAUAAAUGGGUGAUGUCAGCUAUAAACCAGGUUUCUGCCCUGUGGGAGCCUCCACUUCCUCACAAUUCCAGGUACUGCAUGCUCAUAGGCAAGGAACAUAAGAAGGAAGACAGUGUCAGCAUGUGGUAACUCUACCGAGGGGAGUUAAUGAGGGCUGUGGACUCAGGGGAAGGCUGUAGAGUUGGUGUGUAGGCCUGGAGUAUUUCAUCACCUUUUAUCCACUUCUGAGUAUAUGGCCUGACUUCUGCUUUACGCUUCCUAGAAACUCUUACAGCUUCUAGUCCUAGAACAAGACUUUUGAUGAUUGCUGAAGACAUAAUAGCUCCUCCUAGCCAUCUCGAGGCACUUGCAGAAAAAAAAAAAAGGACGCGUGACCGAACUGCAUAACAUGUAAUUAAAGCAGAAGGCGGGAUUCCAUUGUUCUGAAGAUUCAGCUGCACCAGAGGCUGAGAACAGGAGAAAGAACAGGUUUUUUAUCAGACUCCCGUCUCGUGUAUUUCCCUGCCUGCCUUCAUCACCUUACUUUUUUUUUUCUAGGCCAGAGGAUCAGUUUAGGGACUUAAGAAUGUUAAGGAAGCCCUACUGGACCCUCAGCCCCUGUAGCCUUCUUUCUUUAUCUGUAACCUUGUUUCAAUUUCUUCUGUUCACAACUGCAGCUUCUAUGAAACGGUUAGAUUAGAAUACAGGUGGAUAAUCGGUAAGGUUGUAGAAAUACCUUCCUGUGGGAAACUAUCUGGGAGGGAUACUGGGGGCUGUAAAUGAAGUGGCUUUUAGUUUAUUUUAAUAGAGAAAUGGAGGGAGGGGGGAAGAGGGAGGAAGGAAGAGAGAGAACAAAAGAGACCCCCAGAGACAGAAAGAAAAGACAAAAUAGAUAAUUGUGUUCCCUGUGAAGCAGCUAAUAACACUGUCAUUUUUUUGACCCCGUUGCCAUAUAAUGGAGAUAAGAAUCUCAUUAUUCAGAAACAUGCAAAUACAGCGAUUCUGGUUUCCGCACACAGCCACUAAUCACCGUGCUGCUCAGGCUGCGUAAUUUACUCUGUGAACUCAGGCACAUAAAAAAAAAAAUAUCACCCUAAUCCCUCGCCAGUCACGGCAGCCGUGAAGACAGCACCAGAAUAGUGCGCGUUUGAAAGGGGGCAGCAUGCUGAGGACCGCAUUCUUACGAGGCAAAAAAAACGGAGCCAAAUACAAUGGCUUCUGAUUGGAUUUCCAGAGCCACUGGCUAUAAAGGAACAUGGUGUGUGUGUGUGUGUGUGUGUGUGUGUGGGGUUCUCCAAUGGUGCAAAGUUUGAAGCUAACACCAAAGUCUUGACACAGGAUGGGCAGAAUUGGAAAUGAGGGUUCCCCGUGACCUUAAGGAGUUCCAAGUUGCUCACUUCUACUACCUAAGAAACAGAGGCUUUUGGGAUUUCUUCGGCUUAGAUCUAAGUGGUCCAAAAGCCAGACAUUACUAGCCGCAUGCGGGUCUUGAGCGCUUGAAAUACGGCUGGUGCAACGUAGAGGAGCUGGACUCCUAGGACGAACACUGAAGUCGCAGACUGUGAUUGGGGAAUAAGGUAAGGUUGAUCAUAUUUAUUUAUUUGAAACAGGGCCUCAGGAGAUCAGGCUGGCCCAAACCGGACACAUAGCUGAGGAUGAUCUUGAACCUCUGAUCCUCCUGCUACCACUGCUGGGAUUAUAAAUAUGAGUUAUCACGCCCAGUUUAUGCAUGCCCACAGCUUCCUGUGUGCCAGGCAGAUGAUACCAGCUGAGACGGAAACAUCAAGAUUAGCAUAUGGAGGGUUGCAGCGCACAGCGCCUGUCUGCGCUCUAUGCGCUACCAUACAGUUCGCGAGCUUCGGGCAAGGGGCUGGAGAUUGAAACACACACAAAGACACAUAGACGGGAGACAGAAACACGGACCUCCAGUCACUGGUGCCUGUAACAUGAACUCCACCACGCUUUCUUCUGAGAACUGCUGGGGAGUCUGCUGAGAGCAUAAUCUCAGCGUUGCGGGUUCUGGUGGCCCCGAUGGCCGGAUCCCGUGAAGAGGCUGUUUCAUUUGUUUA